Molecule: long non-coding RNA, 1001 nt
Filed under: Capra hircus (goat)
Lineage: Eukaryota; Metazoa; Chordata; Mammalia; Artiodactyla; Bovidae
Description: lncRNA (ENSCHIG00010006231.1)
Source: RNAcentral
UCUUUAACAUCUUUUGGACAAGCCACAGUGUUUUUCCAAGGACGUGGACUUGGCACUUAUCCAACUCUGUAUUCACAUAUACUAGCACACAAACCUGCUGAGCCUUUUAUUUACCCUGUAAACCUGACAGAUGUGAUCCCAGUGAGGUUCCACCAUAUUAUACAGCUGAGUGGAACCCAUAUGUUAUUGAAAAAAGAAAACAAAGAAAAGAAAAUUAAUUCAGUUGUCAAUGUAAAUAAUUGGGGUUAUGUUGCUACCCUUCCUAGUCUGCCCGGAAGUUAAUCAUUUUCUUAAUUAUUCAUAAAAAGAGAGAAUUGGCCUUAUAUCCACCGAUAUAUUUUUUGCAUUGUGUUUGCCCCUAUGGCUCUUUACAUUCCAUUCAGAUGGAGUGAUGAAGGCAUAUAUUGUUGUCUUAACUCUACAACCUGAAGAGUGUGCCAGAUUUAGAGACAAAUAAUGGACAGACCUAAAAUCCAAGCAAAAGUAGAGAAGUAUUUAAAUCUCUAACAAUAUGUUUGCUUCCCUUUGUCAGAAAACACAACUGGAAGGGAAGAAAAUUCUGAGGAUUGCAUUUUUUUCAAUUACAUACCCACUGACUGAAAAAAUGAAAAAAGUUUAGCUUGAUUUGUCACCAAGUCUGCCUUUGUUCUGAGAAUCUAUACCAAAAUGAGAUAAUAUUUGUGACCUUGAUUUAUAAAUUGUAUAGGCUAUUUUUAUUUUUAUUAAGCACUAUUUUUAUUAUGACCUCUUCUUCCUCUUUGAUGGAUAAAUGGUUCUGCAACAAGAAUAGAUUCACUAGUAAAGAACUUAUAGGUAAUUUAUUUUGUAAAGUUUAUUUGAAUAUGAGGUAUUUUUAUCCAUAGCAAAUCAGUCUACCAUCUUCCACAAGUUUUAUAAAAAUAGAGUUGGAGUUAUAACACAGAAUGCUAUAAAAAGGAGAUAGGUUACAAAUAGGAAUGCAAAUAAAGUGCUAAAGUUUUGUAGUGGGGAGAUGUCUACCU